UACGGGGGGUGCGAGCGUUGUCCGGAAUCACUGGGCGUAAAGGGCGCGUAGGUGGUUUGAUAAGGGUGUGGUGAAAGUCCGGGGCUCAACCCCCGGAUCUGCCGUGCCGACUGUCAAACUCGAGGACUGUAGAGGCAGACGGAAUUCCGGGUGUAGCGGUGGAAUGCGUAGAGAUCCGGAGGAAGACCGGUGGCGAAGGCGGUCUGCUGGGCAGUUUCUGACACUGAGGCGCGACAGCGUGGGGAGCAAACAGG
This 254-nucleotide ribosomal RNA is filed under the name uncultured bacterium. RNAcentral describes it as "partial 16S ribosomal RNA". It matches the Rfam family "Bacterial small subunit ribosomal RNA", at positions 524 to 776 of the family's 1533-position model. The record is from RNAcentral.